This is a small nuclear RNA of Tupaia belangeri (northern tree shrew), 130 nucleotides long. Its record names the gene U4. It matches the Rfam family "U4 spliceosomal RNA". Rfam says of the family: U4 small nuclear RNA (U4 snRNA) is a component of the major U2-dependent spliceosome. The record is from Ensembl. NCBI's taxonomy places the organism in Eukaryota, Metazoa, Chordata, Mammalia, Scandentia, Tupaiidae.
AGCUUUGCGCAGUGGCAGUAUCGUAGCCAAUGAGGUUUAUCCGAGGCAUGAUUAUUGCUAAUUGAAAAUAGCAAAAGAAAAAUCAUGUUAUUGUGUAGAAAAGAAAGAAAAUUCAAAUACUUUUAAUAGU